UCCUCGUUUAAGCGAGGCAGUCUGUCCAGAGUGCUUCCUGCUCUCGCAGGAUUGGCAACAGGACACAAGGGUUGCGCUCGUUGCGGGACUUAACCCAACAUCUCACGACACGAGCUGACGACAGCCAUGCAGCACCUGUGCAUGCUCCCCUUGCGGGGUCAUCACCCUUUCAGGCUUUUACCACGUGCAUGUCAGGGCCAGGUAAGGUUCUUCGCGUUGCAUCGAAUUAAGCCACAUACUCCACCGCUUGUGCAGGCCCCCGUCAAUUCCUUUGAGUUUUAGCCUUGCGGCCGUAGUCCCCAGGCGGGGUGCUUAACGCGUUAGCUACGGCACAGAAUCCGUUGACCAGAUCCCACACCUAGCACCCAUCGUUUACGGCGUGGACUAC
Molecule: unclassified non-coding RNA, 388 nt
Filed under: uncultured bacterium
Lineage: Bacteria
Description: contains 16S-23S intergenic spacer region
Source: RNAcentral